GUGAAGGGCUGUCAGGUUUGCCAUUUUGUAGCACAGGAUCAGUAACAAAGGAGGAGCAUCCAUCAAAGAAAGAACUCGGAGGGAUUCAGAUCUCUUUUUCUGAUCCGAUCGCUCGACAAACCGCCAAUAAGCCGAAUUGGUGCUGCCAUUUGCAAUAAG
This is a long non-coding RNA of Stylophora pistillata, 159 nucleotides long. The record is from RefSeq and is a predicted model, not a curated record. NCBI's taxonomy places the organism in Eukaryota, Metazoa, Cnidaria, Anthozoa, Scleractinia, Pocilloporidae.